RNAcentral lists this ribosomal RNA (254 nucleotides) under uncultured bacterium. RNAcentral's name for it is "partial 16S ribosomal RNA". It matches the Rfam family "Bacterial small subunit ribosomal RNA", at positions 524 to 776 of the family's 1533-position model. The record is from RNAcentral.
UACGGGGGGAGCAAGCGUUGUUCGGAUUUACUGGGCGUAAAGGGCGCGUAGGCGGUCAGCACAAGUCAGUUGUGAAAUCUCCGGGCUUAACUCGGAAAGGUCAACUGAUACUGUGCGACUAGAGUGCAGAAGGGGCAACUGGAAUUCUCGGUGUAGCGGUGAAAUGCGUAGAUAUCGAGAGGAACGCCUGCGGCGAAGGCGCUCUACUGGGCCACAACUGACGCUGAGGGACGAAAGCUAGGGGAGCGAAAGGG